GACGUAGGGCGCGAGCGUUGUCCGGAUUUAUUGGGCGUAAAGAGCUCGUAGGCGGCCUGUCGCGUCGACUGUGAAAACCCGCAGCUCAACUGCGGGACUGCAGCGAUACGGGCAGGCUAGAGUUCGGUAGGGGAGACUGGAAUUCCUGGUGUAGCGGUGAAAUGCGCAGAUAUCAGGAAGAACACCAACGGCGAAGGCAGCUCGCUGGGACGGUACUGACGCUGAGGCGCGAAAGCGUGGGGAGCGAACAGG
This 252-nucleotide ribosomal RNA is filed under the name uncultured bacterium. RNAcentral describes it as "partial 16S ribosomal RNA". It matches the Rfam family "Bacterial small subunit ribosomal RNA", at positions 524 to 776 of the family's 1533-position model. The record is from RNAcentral.